RNAcentral lists this unclassified non-coding RNA (155 nucleotides) under soil metagenome. Its description in RNAcentral is "partial internal transcribed spacer 1". The record is from RNAcentral.
CAGAGUUGAUCCAACUCCCAAACCCAUGUGAACUUAUCUCUUUGUUGCCUCGGCGCAAGCUACCCGGGACCUCGCGCCCCGGGCGGCCCGCCGGCGGACAAACCAAAACUCUUGUUAUCUUAGUUGAUUAUCUGAGUGUCUUAUUUAAUAAGUCA